Molecule: long non-coding RNA, 448 nt
Filed under: Rattus norvegicus (Norway rat)
Lineage: Eukaryota; Metazoa; Chordata; Mammalia; Rodentia; Muridae
Description: long non-coding RNA NONRATT012365
Source: RNAcentral
GUCAGCACACGCUCAGCUUCCUGGCUGCCAGGCGCCGUCCUGUGCACCUUACAGGAAACCGCUGGCUGAAUCUUCACGUCAGGUGUACCUGACUGACGGCUUCCUUAGUCACACGUUACAGAGAAGGAAACUGAGGGAAGUUAACAGAGGCCUGUUUGGAAAAGCGGGAAAUUGCAGGGUCUCCUCUGAGAAGCCCAUUUCGAACCCACCUUUCCAGCUACCCAUCACCUUUGCUGGGCUCUCACUGUUCCCCACAUGUUUCCAUGGCAACCUAUGUACCAACAACACAUCAGCUCCAAAUUGCCUUCCGCUUUGUCUCCCAAGGCCAGGGUUUGCAGCUCACUCUAGCUAAAACGGCUCUGCAAGGUUCAACCCUCUCAUCUGAGAUCCCUGUACACAAGCCUCGCAAUUUGGAGGUUUGGAGAAUUCUGUAUUGUUUUUGUUAUGU